RNAcentral lists this ribosomal RNA (496 nucleotides) under uncultured bacterium. RNAcentral describes it as "partial 16S ribosomal RNA". It matches the Rfam family "Bacterial small subunit ribosomal RNA", at positions 30 to 523 of the family's 1533-position model. The record is from RNAcentral.
AUUGAACGCUGGCGGAAUGCUUUACACAUGCAAGUCGAACGGUAGAGGGGGCAACCCCUCGAGAGUGGCGAACGGGUGAGUAAUAUAUCGGAACGUGCCCAAUCGUGGGGGAUAACGUAGCGAAAGCUACGCUAAUACCGCAUACGAUCGGUGGAUGAAAGCGGGGGAUCGCAAGACCUCGCGCGAUUGGAGCGGCCGAUAUCAGAUUAGGUAGUUGGUGGGGUAAAGGCCCACCAAGCCUGCGAUCUGUAGCUGGUCUGAGAGGACGACCAGCCACACUGGAACUGAGACACGGUCCAGACUCCUACGGGAGGCAGCAGUGGGGAAUUUUGGACAAUGGGCGCAAGCCUGAUCCAGCAAUGCCGCGUGCAGGAUGAAGGCCUUCGGGUUGUAAACUGCUUUUGUACGGAACGAAACGGCUUUUUCUAAUACAGAGAGCUAAUGACGGUACCGUAAGAAUAAGCACCGGCUAACUACGUGCCAGCAGCCGCGGUAA